GUGGGCGGGGGCAGGUGUGUGGUGGGUGGUGGCCUGCGGUGAGCAGGGCCCUCACACCUGCCUCGCCCCCCAG
MicroRNA precursor from Gorilla gorilla gorilla (western lowland gorilla), 73 nucleotides. The record is from Ensembl. Lineage: Eukaryota; Metazoa; Chordata; Mammalia; Primates; Hominidae.